UGAGGGUCCUCAGAACAUGAACUCGACCAUCGCCUCCACUAUGACCAUCACCUCAACUACCUCCAAUUCCAUCACCCCUUAAUGUCCCGGCUAUAUUUUACAUUUUGGUUCUGCUUCUUUGUUAGAAUAAUUGUAGAUUUUGAUUGCUUAGAUAAUCGAGUGGUCUAGAGCUUGAAUAAGUAAAAUUUAGUUAACAUGAGUAAUAGUGCACACUACAAUUUAUAAAAAAAAAAGAAAAAAAAAAGAGAGAGGGUAAAAAGUACCAGACACAUCCUUAACAUAGUCAUGCAUUGUCUAAUCUCUCAUAAUAAAGUAAAAGAAAAGUGCAUCGAGUGCAUUCUCAAGAAAGAUGUUCAAGUUACUUCUGUUGAUCUAUUCUAUCCCUGUUGUGCAGCAAUAACUUUAUGAUCAUCAAAAAGGUGAUUAGUGGCUUCGUUGCUUAUUGUUCUAAGUCCAAUAACUACAUUAAAGGCUUUUGGAUAAUCAGUUAAUCAUGUUUAAUCAUAUGUCCUUUCCUCAUGGUCUAAUUUGAUAUCAUACUAUUUCGUACAUUAGAAAUGCUUAUUUUUCGGGUACAUUUCAAAAGUAUGUAAAUUAAAAAAAUUUCCACUGUGUAUCUACUAUUUUUCAUUUUGAUUACCUCUUCAGUCAUUCAGAAAGUUCAUUUGUAUUUUGUUGCGUGAACCCAAUUCCGUUUACUUUUCCACAGGUAAAUAAGAGCACGUGAUGAUGCGCGUCCGGACUUUCCUGCGACGCGCAUGAUCAUUGAAAAAUUCCCAGUGUGUAUCUACUAUUUUUUGACUUUUGUCCCGAUCCGGACUUUCCUGCGACGCGCAUUCCUACAAAAAGAGAGCGAAUGCAAUGGCUUGAAAUUUCACCUCCAUAUUACCUCUUCAGCCUGCGAUUCUCUCUCUCUCCUGGAGCUCCUGCGAUCCUGCCUCUCUCUCUCUCUCUCUCGCUCUCAAUCGCAGCCUGCGAUUCGCAGGAACCCUCUAUACGCAGCAACCCUAGAUCCACCGCACCCUCGCCAAUCGCCACCAUCGUCGUUACUUAGCCGGUUCGCCUCUUGUUGGUGCGCCGCAGGAACGCAACCCAACUCGUUGUCGCCUCUCGUCUUCUUGUCGCUAGGCCCAGACUCGCUACCAUCGCCUCUCUUUUGCAGCUCCCCCACUCCGACACAGCUAUUCCAGAGCGAGGUCUCGGUCGCGCUUAUUUGGGGCUGGUUUGCCGAAGUUGGUAGGUUCGAUUCAAGGUCUCUGGACAGCUUGCACCCUUGAAGAAUUUAAAACUUGGCCUGAUCUUCCAUAAUUUUGUUGGACUCUGGGAUUGUCUUGCUCUAUUGGUCAGCACAAAUGGAGCAUUUGGACAUUAUUACAACUGCAUGCUCCAAAGGACAUAUAAACUAAUGCGGUGUUGAUUUCCAUGUUGCUGAUUAUAUGGUUGCAGAAUCACAUGAUUUGGUGCUUAAUGUUUCAAUAGGAGGAUUAUGUUGUUUUCUUGCAUAUUAAUGUAAAAUUCGAAGCUGUAUAAGAUAUGGGCCGGUUGUAAAAUAGGUUCUAGUGGAAACCGGGUUGACCUUGGAACCGGACCAAAUAGGGUGGUUCCAAAAUAUGGUCCAGUUCAAACGGGGUCUGGUAUAGGGUCCAAAAAAGAAAAACCGGUUCUAACAGGGUCGGGUACAGGGUCUAUGUUUGAAACCUACCCAUCCCGGACCCGAUUACCCCUAGAAAACACAGCUUCAAAUCUUUAGCUCACAAUCGUUGCCGAUUGUUAAACUCCAUCAUCCAAUGGCUUCUUCAUUGAAACCCAAAAAGAUUUACGACGUCUUCUUAAGUUUCAGAGGGGUAGAACUUCGUCACAACUUCGUCGGCCAUCUCUACCAAGCUUUAAUCCAGAGUGGAAUACACACUUUCCGGGAUAGCAAAGAACUGAAAAAGGGUGACCAGAUAUCGCCGAUGCUGAUGGAGGCCAUCGAAGAAUCGCACAUUGCAGUAAUCAUUUUCUCUGAGGACUACGCUUCUUCAAACUGGUGCUUGGAAGAGGUGGUGAAGAUUAUGGAGUGCAAGGAGCAAAGGAACCUCACCGUUCUGCCAGUGUUUUAUAAAGUGGAACCAAGAGAAGUGAGAAAGGGAAGAAUGAGUUAUCAAAAAGCUCUGAAUAAGCACAAGUCCAAGUUCGGGGAGGAUUCGGAGAAAGUGAAGAGAUGGAAGAAAGCUCUUUUCAACGCUGGUAGCUUGUCCGGUUGGCCUUUGAAUGAUGAAGAUGAGUCGAAGCAUAUACAAGAAAUUGUGAAAUGGAUCUCCAAUCAUCUUGACCGAAUGCCUUUGCAUGUUGCUAAGCACCCGGUUGGGAUAGAAUCUCGAGUGGUUAUGCUAAAAUCAAUGUUAAACCUUGAAUCUAAUGAUGAUGUUGUGAUGGUGGGAUUGUGGGGACAAGGAGGUAUAGGGAAGACAACCUUGGCGAAAGCCCUAUACAAUUCUUCUUUUACACAAUUUGAGGGUUCAUGUUUUCUGGCAAAUGUUCGAGAAACUUCAAAAGGUUGCAAGGAUCUAGUGACUUUGCAAGAAAUAUUAUUAAAAGAUACAUUAUUACUGCAGCAAAGAUUAGAAGUGUCCACUGUUGAUAAAGGUAUUAAUAUAAUACAACGCAGACUUGGUCGCAAGAAAGUUCUCCUAAUCCUUCAUGAUGUGGAUGACCUGCACCAGUUAAAUGCUUUAGUAGGAGAAGGCAAGUGGUUUGGUAAUGGGAGUAGGAUCAUUAUUACUACAAGAGACAGACAUUUGCUAACUUGUCAAGGGAUAUAUCAAGAUCAUGUGUAUGAAGUUGAAGCACUAGAUGACAGUCAAGCUUGCAAGCUGCUUAGUAAGCAUGCUUCUCAGGUGCACCAAAUCAGAAUAGAUCUAGUAAAUGGGGCUCUGAAUUAUGCUAAAGGUCUUCCUUUAGCACUUGAGGUGUUGGGUUCCUUAUUAUGUGGUGAAACAGAAGAUGUAUGGGAAAGUACACUAAUGAAAUUUUCUAGGAGUCCUAACAAAAGCAUUAAUAACGUGCUCAAAAUUAGUUAUGAGGGACUAGAUGAAAAUGAGAAAGAAAUCUUUCUCCACAUUUCCUGCUUCUUUAGGGGGUGGAAAAGGGAGUAUACAAAGAAAGUUCUUGAAAGUUGCGAUCUUGAGACAACUGCAGGAUUUGAAAUUCUUGUUAAGAGGUCCUUGAUAAGAAUUGAGUUGGACAUCCUAGAAAUGCAUGACUUAAUUCAAUUGAUGGGUAAGGAUAUUGUGAACCAAGAGUGUCGCGAUGAUCCUGGAAGACGCAGCAGACUAUGGUUGUAUGAUGAUGUUGACGAGGUUCUGUCCAAUGACAAGGAAGAUUGUGCUGUAAAAGCCAUAGUGUUGACGCUACCUGAGUGGACAGAGAUGUGUAUCCAUCCUGAUGCUUUUACAAAAAUGAGAAGGUUGAGAUUGCUCAUCUUGCCUAACCUGCAAGAUUCUUUCCAAGGUCCUUUAUGUCUUCCUAAGGGGCUUAGAUGGUUUGAAUGGCCUGGAUGUGCUCGCCAGAUUACUGAAUAUUCCUCUGGUUCAAUGAAAUUAGUGGGAAUUGAUAUGAGCAAAGCCAGUAUCACGGUAGUGCCUAAACAAUUUAAAGACUUCCAACAAUUGAAGUUCAUUAAUUUCAGUUAUUGCAAGUCCCUCAUUCGAAUCCCUGACCUCUCAUGGACUCCACAUCUCGAGGCAUUGGUUCUCUCUGAUUGUAAAAAUAUGGUAGAAGCCCAUGAGUCGAUUGCAUUUCUUGAGAAGUUACAGGUGUUGACUUUAGAUGGGUGCUCUCGACUUCGUGUUUUUCUGAAUGUGCUCAAGACAAAAAGACUUCGGCAUCUUCUUCUUACAAAUUGUAAAAAUUUGAAAAGGUUCCCUGAUAUUCCACAUAAACUUGAAAGUCUGACACUUAUUUCGUUAAGAGGGACUGCUAUUAAAGAACUUCCUGCAGCAGUAGAAAAUCUUGUUUCUUUGGAGAAAUUGAGCUUAUCUGUUUGCAGGAAUCUGGUAAGUCUUCCGUCUAGUAUAUACAAGUUACAUAACAUCGAAGAGCUGGAACUUAAAGGUUGCAGAUCCUUCAUUGGGUUUCCAAAGUACGAUGAUUCUGCUGAUCCAUCUAUGAAGAUCGGACUUUCAAGUUUAAAAUAUUUAGACCUUGGUGGAAGUAGUCUGACUGAAUUGGAGUUUCUCAAGAAUCAUUCCUGUUGUCCCAAAUUGGGUAAUUUACGUCUGAUGGGGACCAAAAUAACUAGCAUUCCAACAUCCAUCCUUGGGCGCAAACAUUUACAUAUUCACGUGGCGCCCCAUGUUCAUUUUGGAGGCUGGAAGAUGCUCGAUCCCUAUGCUUCUAACGGUAGAGAUUAUCUCAAGUUGGCUUUGCAAAUGCCGCCUCUCCAAGGUUACCAUGCUACUCAUCUUGGAGCGGAGUUACCAGAGUGGGUGCUCCCUAUUGAAAAAGGUUUUGCAUCCUUUAGGGCUUCUAAGGACUUGUGUCACAAGUUUCUUGGAUUCAUUCUUUGUGUUGUUCAUAGUACUGAUGAACAUGAUCAUGGAUCACAAUCAUACUACAUGGAAAUAGAAGUUAAUGGCCAAAUGCUGCAUAAGCGUAAAUGGACUCCCGUUGCAAAUUAUAACUUGUUUGUAUCAUUCACACCAUUUGAGCAGUUGCAGGGAGCAAUCAAUUUUGGUCAAAUUUAUGAGUCAUGUACAGUUUAGUGUUAAAGUAUCAGGUGGAGUCGCAAAAAAGUGUGGAUUCCGAAUAGUAUGCAAGCAACUAGAGGAAGAUUUUAUAGUUAGGCUUCAAGAUCUAAUCGAUCCAGCUUUACUCUACGAGUUUGGUUAUGAAUCAAAAUAUCCAACAGCCAUGGUUCCACUUAUGCAUGGAACGAUCAAAACGGAUAUACAGAACGACUUGCAAGAUUGUUCAGCGACGCCACUUUCAGCAUCACGACAGCUCGUCUCCCAUCUGACAACACCGAGCUCUGAUGGAUGUAAGAUUGCCACUUACCAACGACGGAGGCGACGAAGAGAAGAAGUUUGUCUCCCUGAAACAGAGUCCCUAGUGAAACGAUGGUGGCGUAGACUGAAGAGCAGAGGCGACUACCACCUCCGACCGAAGCCAUGGAAACUGAUGACUUGAAGGAUGUGUAGCUGAGGUUCUGGGCUUCAUGCCGCUUGCUGAAGAUCAGGCAGAGCUUUUGUUGGACAGCCUUGAAGUUCCAGCUGGCUGUGUGAUUGUUGAGGAUGGCAGCGUUGUUGCAGCAGGAAGAAACUGGACCGAUGAGACGCAACAGCACUUUGUUAUAGUUCUGAAUGGAUACCCUCGAAUUAUCCACUCCCAGUUUAUUAUUGAUCAUUUUAUGUUUCACCCUUUAUUUUUAUUUUUCUUUUAUAAUAUUAAGAGAGGUGUAACUGACUUUGACAUGAAACUUGAAUAGAGUAACGAACCGUGAACGGACAUUUUCAUUUUUGCAAUUGAAAAAGUAGGUCCUGCAGAUGGUACUUUGGAAAAUAACAAAAUCUACCAUGCAGUACUAAUCAAGACGAUGUACAAACUCUUGAGUCCUGUAAUUUGUA
Molecule: RNA transcript, 5606 nt
Organism: Eucalyptus grandis
Lineage: Eukaryota; Viridiplantae; Streptophyta; Magnoliopsida; Myrtales; Myrtaceae
Gene name: disease resistance protein RUN1-like
Exons: 8
Source: RefSeq, a predicted model, not a curated record